GAUGAACGCUAGCGGCAGGCCUAACACAUGCAAGUCGAGGGAGGAGCCUUCGGGCUUCGACCGGCGUACGGGUGCGUAACGCGUAUACAAUCUGCCUUUCACAUAGGGAUAGCCCGAAGAAAUUUGGAUUAAUACCUAAUGGUAUAUAGAUGUGGCAUCACAUUUAUAUUAAAGCUGAGGCGGUGAAAGAUGAGUAUGCGUUCUAUUAGCUAGUUGGAGAGGUAACGGCUCCCCAAGGCUACGAUAGAUAGGGGUUCUGAGAGGGAUAUCCCCCACACUGGUACUGAGAUACGGACCAGACUCCUACGGGAGGCAGCAGUGAGGAAUAUUGGACAAUGGUCGAAAGACUGAUCCAGCCAUGCCGCGUGCAGGAAGACGGCCUUAUGGGUUGUAAACUGCUUUUGCAGGGGAAGAAUAAGGACUACGAGUAGUUUGAU
RNAcentral lists this ribosomal RNA (437 nucleotides) under Capnocytophaga sp. oral taxon 329. RNAcentral's name for it is "bacterial SSU rRNA". It matches the Rfam family "Bacterial small subunit ribosomal RNA", at positions 28 to 470 of the family's 1533-position model. Lineage: Bacteria; Pseudomonadati; Bacteroidota; Flavobacteriia; Flavobacteriales; Flavobacteriaceae. The record is from RNAcentral.